Molecule: long non-coding RNA, 372 nt
Filed under: Mytilus galloprovincialis (Mediterranean mussel)
Lineage: Eukaryota; Metazoa; Mollusca; Bivalvia; Mytilida; Mytilidae
Source: RNAcentral
AUUUAAUCGAGGAAAUGAGUUCUUCGGCCUUCAUAAACGCCGUCAGGAGAUUCGCCGCUAUAAGAGGCCAAGUAAAGAUUUUCCGAUCUGACCGUGGAACAAACUUUAUUGGAGCAAUCGACGAUUUAAAGAUUGAUUCAAUCAACGUUGAAGAUGGACCCUUCAAGAACUUUCUGUACAGUUCUGGUACAACUUGGAUCUUCAAUGCGCCGCAUUCGUCCCACAUGGGUGGAGCCUGGGAAAGAAUGAUUGGUAUCACCAGAAGAAUUCUUGAUUCUAUGCUUCUAAAUGCAGCCGGAAGAAGCCUUACGCAUGACGUGCUUAACACACUAAUGGCAGAAGUUUCAGCAAUAGUGAACUCUAGACCUCUGG